GCCGAGACGCUGCGGGUCUUCGCUCAUGAAUCUCCGAGCUCUCUCUGCCCCCGCCGGCUGCUCGCGGAACCGUCACCCUCCAAUCACGCAGAGCCGACGGCGGCAGGAAGAAACCGCACCAUGCCCGGGAAGGAUCGUGAUUUACCCAAGAUAUUUUGGAGGGCAAUCACUGUGUCCUGGGUAGCAACCAUUUUGUUUAAACAUUGGUCUGGGUUCAGUGCUAAAAGGACCAUGCAGACUGCAGUGGGUGUUUUUGGUGGUAAAAAUUAUACUAAUGGAACAUUUCAUUACGUACACCUUCACUAACUGUGGGCUC
Molecule: long non-coding RNA, 316 nt
Organism: Panicum virgatum (switchgrass)
Lineage: Eukaryota; Viridiplantae; Streptophyta; Magnoliopsida; Poales; Poaceae
Exons: 4
Source: RefSeq, a predicted model, not a curated record